RNAcentral lists this long non-coding RNA (214 nucleotides) under Elaeis guineensis (African oil palm). RNAcentral's name for it is "long non-coding RNA (EGUI_LNC078794)". Lineage: Eukaryota; Viridiplantae; Streptophyta; Magnoliopsida; Arecales; Arecaceae. The record is from RNAcentral.
CGGCACCUUUCCUCGAUUUGAGUGCACAGGGCACACUGGGGCUGCAUGUCUUGAACGUCAAUUGAGACACGAGGCCCGAGCGCGCAGGGCACGCCUCGGCUCCAUAUUUGCAAUGCUGACCGGCACCUUCUUCGGUCUGAGUGCGUAGGGCGUGCAGGGGCUGGAUGUCUUGGAUGCUAGCUGAGACCCGAGGCCCGAUGGCACAAGGUCACCU